CAGGCACCGCAGAUCGGGUAGCGACAUCUUGGAGCUCCGUUCGAGAGCUAAUCGGAUUACGGCUUUAUGUCACUUGUUAGAUAGCGUGGAGGGGUGGACAGCCAAUGAGAAUUCAGCUUUUGGCAAACGUUUAGGAGAUACUAGCUCCUCGUAAAUCCUCGGAAUUUAUGUGCGUUUUUACGUUUGGGAUUCGAAAAAUACAAGAAAACAAACUUCGUGUGUGGAGAAGCAUACGGGAUAACAGGAAAAAAUAUACACUUUUCAAAUAUGUUUGUGCAGUUUGGAUUGAUUGCAGGCAAGAAUCUCGCUAUCAUUGCUACUUGCAUACAAAACACAAGAACAUUAACGUUAUAUUUUAAAAUGAUGAGUUUCAGGGCAUGAACAAGUUCCUGUCUGAACUGCAUGAUAAAAAGAAACUGUGUCUUCAUGUCCAAGUCUUCAGCAGCGAUGACAAUGAAUAUUCCGAAAAGGAGUUAGAGUAAAGGAAUGUACCUAAAAUAAUCUAUAUAUAUAAUUCACUAAGGCAAG
Molecule: long non-coding RNA, 528 nt
Organism: Polypterus senegalus (gray bichir)
Lineage: Eukaryota; Metazoa; Chordata; Cladistia; Polypteriformes; Polypteridae
Exons: 4
Source: RefSeq, a predicted model, not a curated record